AUGCUGGUGAUCUGGAUUGUGACACUGAGUCUCUGGCUCGGGCUACCUGCUACAGCAACACAGGAGUCAUCUACAAUCAUCUCUACCAACGAUGCAUCCACAUCGAAUUCCAGUGACCCCUCUACUCUCUCUGCCACAUCUAUUUCUGAAAAAUCCACUGUCAUCACAGCUGGUUCAAACUCAUCAAAUUCUACAGUCUCAUCUUCUACAAGUUCUUCUAAUUCUUUGAGCCCCAGUGGAUUUUCAACCACAACUAUGAACACUGGUGACAGCAUGACAGCUUUUACUGAAUUGACUUCUGCCUUCACAACCAGUCCUGAAUUGUCCAAAUCAACUGUUUCCUCUGGGACCUCUUCCACCUCGGAAGAUAGAAGUGCUGCAUCUUCUUCUAGCUCUGGUCACCUAUCUACCACCCUUACUAGCUCAGCACAGACAGAUUCAGACCUCACAGAAGGAUCGAUUUUGUAUACAGGCACCCCUAAAUUGUCCAAGCUUACAAUGACCUCACACAGUACCUUUAGCAAAGAGGAUGAAAUGUUGGCUUCCACAUUAGGCUCUAGAGAAACUUUUACCACCAGAGAUGAUCAUGGAAUUGUGAACAGAUCCUUGUUUCAGGAGGUGUCCACAUUGACAUCUUUUACAAACUAUUCCUACAGCACAGCAAAGGAAAUUCCUGCUUAUUCAUCAAGUCCCAUUGAACACUAUACCCUCACUACAGAUACAGAAAAAACCACCACACCUCUGACACGGGUGGCAAGCACCUAUACCACCGUUUCUGAUUUGUCUAUAUCCACUGAUUCAUCUGAGCAUUCUCACGUUGUAGACAAAGGAAGGUCUGAAAGAACAUUGAGACCUAGAGAAUUAUCUACAAGUCCAGUAGACUCAGAGCUGAAUACCAAUGAGGUGACUCAGAAAAACAGAGACAAGAACAUGAUUUCUGAUUCUUCUGUAGCCACAGGCUCACCUACAACCGUGAACAAAGAAGAAUUCUCAACAUCAAUGUAUUCUUCUAAAAAUUCCUAUAAAACAAAUGACGGAAGCUCCGCGUCCCCUUCAGGUCCGGGCCAGCUGUCCACCACCGUCUCUGUCUCAGCACAGACGACCACGGGCCUCGUGGACGGAUCCAGUGUGUAUCCAGGCACCCCUCACUCAUCAGAGCCAACGGGUAUCCCACACAGCACCACCAGCGGAGAGGAUGCAGUUUCUGCUUCCACACCAACGACUGCUGGCCCUUUUACUACCCAUGCUGAUGGCGGACACACAACCACAUCUCUUGCUGCAGGGUCCACGAUCUACACCGCCACUGCGCCCUCGGAGUUGUCCACACCAUCCUUUUCCACUACUGCCUCCCACAGCACAGAUAGUGAGAUUCCCACCUCCACAUGGAGCCCCAGUGAGCUCUCUACCCACACUGUGGUCACUGGGCAAGCCGGCUCCACUCCCACAGGCGAGACAACCAUCAUCCCCACUGUGCCAGCUUCAUCUGAGCCCACGGCGUCAACCCACGUUUCCCAUACCACAGACGCCGGCCGUUCCACCGUCCCAUCGAGGCCAGGAGACCUGUCUACCAGCCCGGCUGUCUCAGGACCGACUGCUACUGGUGUCCCCCAGGAAUCCACGGACCACGGCACCAUCUCUGAUUCUCCUCAACCUCCGGACUCAUCGGCAACCACUUUUACCAAGGGUGAUGCAAGUCCCAUGUCUACGUCAAGUCCCACCGAGUCUUUAGCCACUUCCCCGGGUUCGGGACCGUCAGCCUCACCCAGUGCUACGGAGUCUACUUUCUCCACGAUCGUCUCAGAGUCAUCGGAAUACACAGUGGCUUCCUAUACUACAGGCUCUCCAAGUCCCUCGAGCCAGGAAGACUCUUCCACCACCACCCUGACCACCGGACACAGCACUACCGCCCUUUCGGCGUUGCCCUCCGUCUUCACAACUGUGUCUGCUUUGACCAAAACGACCGUUACUUCAGAAACCUCCUAUACGGUGGGUGACGGAAGCUCCGCGUCCCCUUCAGGUCCGGGCCAGCUGUCGACCACCGUCUCUGUCUCAGCACAGACGACCAUGGGCCUCGUGGACGGAUCCAGUGUGUAUCCAGGCACCCCUCACUCAUCAGAGCCAACGGGUAUCCCACACAGCACCACCAGCGGAGAGGAUGCAGUUUCUGCUUCCACACCAACGACUGCUGGCCCUUUUACUACCCAUGCUGAUGGCGGACACACACAACCACAUCUCUUGCUGCAGGGUCCACGAUCUACACCGCCACGGCCCCCUCAGAGUUGUCCACACCAUCCUUUUCCACUACUGCCUCCCACAGCACAGAUAGUGAGAUUCCCACCUCCACAUGGAGCCCCAGUGAGCUCUCUACCCACACUGUGGUCACUGGGCAAGCCGGCUCCACUCCCACAGGCGAGACAACCAUCAUCCCCACUGUGCCAGCUUCAUCUGAGCCCACGGCGUCAACCCACGUUUCCCAUAUCACAGACGCCGGCCGUUCCACCGUCCCAUCGAGGCCAGGAGACCUGUCUACCAGCCCGGCUGUCUCAGGACCGACUGCUACUGGUGUCCCCCAGGAAUCCACGGACCACGGCACCAUCUCUGAUUCUCCUCAACCUCCGGACUCAUCGGCAACCACUUUUACCAAGGGUGAUGCAAGUCCCAUGUCUACGUCAAGUCCCACCGAGUCUUUAGCCACUUCCCCGGGUUCGGGACCGUCAGCCUCACCCAGUGCUACGGAGUCUACUUUCUCCACGAUCGUCUCAGAGUCAUCGGAAUACACAGUGGCUUCCUAUACUACAGGCUCUCCAAGUCCCUCAAGCCAGGAAGACUCUUCCACCACCACCCUGACCACUGGACACAGCACUACCGCCCUUUCGGCGUUGCCCUCCGUCUUCACAACUGUGUCUGCUUUGACCGGAACGACCGUUACUUCAGAAACCUCCUAUACGGUGGGUGACGGAAGCUCCGCGUCCCCUUCAGGUCCGGGCCAGCUGUCGACCACCGUCUCUGUCUCAGCACAGACGACCACGGGCCUCGUGGACGGAUCCACUGUGUAUCCAGGCACCCCUCACUCAUCAGAGCCAACGGGUAUCCCACACAGCACCACCAGCGGAGAGGAUGCAGUUUCUGCUUCCACACCAACGACUGCUGGCCCUUUUACUACCCAUGCUGAUGGCGGACACACAACCACAUCUCUUGCUGCAGGGUCCACGAUCUACACCGCCACUGCCCCCUCAGAGUUGUCCACACCAUCCUUUUUCCACUACUGCCUCCCACAGCACAGAUAGUGAGAUUCCCACCUCCACAUGGAGCCCCAGUGAGCUCUCUACCCACACUGUGGUCACUGGGCAAGCCGGCUCCACUCCCACAGGCGAGACAACCAUCAUCCCCACUGUGCCAGCUUCAUCUGAGCCCACGGCGUCAACCCACGUUUCCCAUACCACAGACGCCGGCCGUUCCACCGUCCCAUCGAGGCCAGGAGACCUGUCUACCAGCCCGGCUGUCUCAGGACCGACUGCUACUGGUGUCCCCCAGGAAUCCACGGACCACGGCACCAUCUCUGAUUCUCCUCAACCUCCGGACUCAUCGGCAACCACUUUUACCAAGGGUGAUGCAAGUCCCAUGUCUACGUCAAGUCCCACCGAGUCUUUAGCCACUUCCCCGGGUUCGGGACCGUCAGCCUCACCCAGUGCUACGGAGUCUACUUUCUCCACGAUCGUCUCAGAGUCAUCGGAAUACACAGUGGCUUCCUACACUACAGGCUCUCCAAGUCCCUCGAGCCAGGAAGACUCUUCAACCAGCACCCUGACCACUGGACACAGCACUACCGCCCUUUCGGCAUUGCCCUCCGUCUUCACAACUGUGUCUGCUUUGACCGAAACGACCGUUACUUCAGAAACCUCCUAUACGGUGGGUGACGGAAGCUCCGCGUCCCCUUCAGGUCCGGGCCAGCUGUCGACCACCGUCUCUGUCUCAGCACAGACGACCACGGGCCUCGUGGACGGAUCCAGUGUGUAUCCAGGCACCCCUCACUCAUCAGAGCCAACGGGUAUCCCACA
This 4058-nucleotide long non-coding RNA is filed under the name Canis lupus familiaris (dog). RNAcentral's name for it is "lncRNA (ENSCAFG00845000682.1)". Lineage: Eukaryota; Metazoa; Chordata; Mammalia; Carnivora; Canidae. The record is from RNAcentral.